UACGUAGGGGGCAAGCGUUGUCCGGAAUCAUUGGGCGUAAAGCGCGUGUAGGCGGCUCAGUAAGUCCGCUCUGAAAGCCCGGGGCUUAACCCCGGGAGGCGGGUGGAUACUGCUGAGCUCGAGUCCGGAAGAGGCGAGUGGAAUUCCUGGUGUAGCGGUGAAAUGCGCAGAUAUCAGGAAGAACACCUAUGGCGAAGGCGGCUCUCUAGUACGUGACUGACGCUGAGACGCGAAAGCGUGGGGAGCGAACAGG
RNAcentral lists this ribosomal RNA (253 nucleotides) under uncultured bacterium. Its description in RNAcentral is "partial 16S ribosomal RNA". It matches the Rfam family "Bacterial small subunit ribosomal RNA", at positions 524 to 776 of the family's 1533-position model. The record is from RNAcentral.